CAAUAGCGUAUAUUAACGUUGUUGCAGUUAAAAAGCUCGUAGUUGGAUUUCUGGAGGGAGCGUCGGCCCGUAUUUACGAGUGCGUGACGUCUCUGUCCAUCCUUGCGGGAAGGCACGGCAUUGAUUUGUUGUGUCGGAUCGCAUCAUUUACUGUGAAAAAAUUAGAGUGUUCAAAGCAGGCUUUCGCUUGAAUACAUUAGCAUGGAAUAAUAAGAUAGGACUGCGGUCUAUUUUGUUGGUUGAGCCUAAAGUAAUGAUUAAUAGGGAUAGUUGGGGGCACCUGUAUUGCGUUGUCAGAGGUGAAAUUCUUGGAUUUACGCAAGACAAACAGCUGCGAAAGCGUCUGCCAAGGAUGUUUUCAUUAA
Molecule: ribosomal RNA, 365 nt
Filed under: uncultured eukaryote
Lineage: Eukaryota
Description: partial 18S ribosomal RNA
Rfam family: Eukaryotic small subunit ribosomal RNA
Source: RNAcentral